RNAcentral lists this ribosomal RNA (568 nucleotides) under uncultured bacterium. RNAcentral describes it as "partial 16S ribosomal RNA". It matches the Rfam family "Bacterial small subunit ribosomal RNA", at positions 355 to 912 of the family's 1533-position model. The record is from RNAcentral.
UGGGGAAUAUUGCACAAUGGGCGCAAGCCUGAUGCAGCCAUGCCGCGUGUGUGAAGAAGGCCCUCGGGUUGUAAAGCACUUUCAGCGAGGAGGAAGGUGGUGAGCUUAAUACGCUCAUCAAUUGACGUUACUCGCAGAAGAAGCACCGGCUAACUCCGUGCCAGCAGCCGCGGUAAUACGGAGGGUGCAAGCGUUAAUCGGAAUUACUGGGCGUAAAGCGCACGCAGGCGGUUUGUUAAGUCAGAUGUGAAAUCCCCGGGCUCAACCUGGGAACUGCAUUUGAAACUGGCAAGCUAGAGUCUCGUAGAGGGGGGUAGAAUUCCAGGUGUAGCGGUGAAAUGCGUAGAGAUCUGGAGGAAUACCGGUGGCGAAGGCGGCCCCCCUGGACGAAGACUGACGCUCAGGUGCGAAAGCGUGGGGCAGCAAACAGGAUUAGAUACCCUGGUAGUCCACGCUGUAAACGAUGUCGAUUUGGAGGUUGUGCCCCUUGAGGCGUGGCUUCCGGAGCUAACGCGUUAAAUCGACCGCCUGGGGAGUACGGCCGCAAGGUUAAAACUCAAAUGAAUUG